GUUCGAGUUGGGUUUGAUUUGGGGAUUCUUUGUUCUACUGAAAAGGGAUUGAGUUAUCACCAAUCGAGUUAGGUUUGAGUUAAAGGAGGAGGAAAGGGUGUUUUCACGGGUUUAGGGAUUGGUGCUCAAAUCCAUUUGAUUGGUUUUACUCCGUCUGGGUUGGAAGAGCAUUCGUUCUACUGAAAGUUAGGGUUAUUAGAUUUUGGGGUUUGACUAGUGGUAAACUGAAAGCAGAGGAGGCACCCAAGAACAUUGAGCACCAAAUUGAAGGGACCCAGAAUGAUACGCUCCGUUAUGGUCUUAAUAGCGUCAAAAGCAACCUCAUUGGCUUUCACCCAGUCGAAUUUGCUCACCAAUUGGCGUAAAAGAUGCAAGAGGAGAUGGAAAGGAGAAUCUUGGCUUAUGAUUUUAUAUGCCUAUUGGAGCCAUACCUUCUUCAAUGCUAGGAUUGGAGACUCUGACAGGAG
Rosa chinensis is the source of this 467-nucleotide long non-coding RNA. RefSeq lists it as uncharacterized. The transcript has 4 exons. The record is from RefSeq and is a predicted model, not a curated record. NCBI's taxonomy places the organism in Eukaryota, Viridiplantae, Streptophyta, Magnoliopsida, Rosales, Rosaceae.